GACGAACGCUGGCGGCGUGCUUAACACAUGCAAGUCGAACGGAAAGGCCCUGCUUUUGUGGGGUGCUCGAGUGGCGAACGGGUGAGUAACACGUGAGUAACCUGCCCUUGACUUUGGGAUAACUUCAGGAAACUGGGGCUAAUACCGGAUAGGAGCUCCUGCUGCAUGGUGUGGGUUGGAAAGUUUCGGCGGUUGGGGAUGGACUCGCGGCUUAUCAGCUUGUUGGUGGGGUAGUGGCUUACCAAGGCUUUGACGGGUAGCCGGCCUGGGAGGGUGACCGGCCACAAUGGGACUGAGAGACGGCCCAGACUCCUACGGGAGGCAGCAGUGGGGAAUAUUGCACAAUGGGCGGAAGCCUGAUGCAGCAACGCCGCGUGCGGGAUGACGGCCUUCGGGUUGUAAACCGCUUUCGCCUGUGACGAAGCGUGAGUGACGGUAAUGGGUAAAGAAGCACCGGCUAACUACGUG
This 468-nucleotide ribosomal RNA is filed under the name uncultured bacterium. RNAcentral's name for it is "partial 16S ribosomal RNA". It matches the Rfam family "Bacterial small subunit ribosomal RNA", at positions 28 to 507 of the family's 1533-position model. The record is from RNAcentral.